AGAGUUUGAUCCUGGCUCAGGACGAACGCUGGCGUCACGCUUAACACAUGCAAGUCGAACGAGAGAAGAGGAGCUUGCUUUUCUGAUCUAGUGGCGGACGGGUGAGUAACACGUGAGCAAUCUGCCUUUCAGAGGGGGAUACCGAUUGGAAACGAUCGUUAAUACCGCAUAACAUAAUUGAACCGCAUGAUUUGAUUAUCAAAGAUUUAUCGCUGAAAGAUGAGCUCGCGUCUGAUUAGCUAGUUGGUAAGGUAACGGCUUACCAAGGCGACGAUCAGUAGCCGGACUGAGAGGUUGAUCGGCCACAUUGGGACUGAGACACGGCCCAGACUCCUACGGGAGGCAGCAGUGGGGAAUAUUGCACAAUGGAGGAAACUCUGAUGCAGCGAUGCCGCGUGAGGGAAGAAGGUUUUAGGAUUGUAAACCUCUGUCUUCAGGGACGAAAAAAGACGGUACCUGAGGAGGAAGCUCCGGCUAACUACGUGCCAGCAGCCGCGGUAAUACGUAGGGAGCGAGCGUUGUCCGGAAUUACUGGGUGUAAAGGGAGCGUAGGCGGGAUCGCAAGUCAGAUGUGAAAACUAUGGGCUUAACCCAUAAACUGCAUUUGAAACUGUGGUUCUUGAGUGAAGUAGAGGUAAGCGGAAUUCCUAGUGUAGCGGUGAAAUGCGUAGAUAUUAGGAGGAACAUCAGUGGCGAAGGCGGCUUACUGGGCUUUAACUGACGCUGAGGCUCGAAAGCGUGGGGAGCAAACAGGAUUAGAUACCCUGGUAGUCCACGCCGUAAACGAUGAUUACUAGGUGAGGGGGGACUGACCCCUUCCGUGCCGCAGCAAACGCAAUAAGUAAUCCACCUGGGGAGUACGACCGCAAGGUUGAAACUCAAAGGAAUUGACGGGGGCCCGCACAAGCAGUGGAGUAUGUGGAUUAAUUCGAAGCAACGCGAAGAACCUUACCAGGUCUUGACAUCGUAUGCAUAGCUCAGAGAUGAGUGAAAUCUCUUCGGAGACAUAUAGACAGGUGGUGCAUGGUUGUCGUCAGCUCGUGUCGUGAGAUGUUGGGUUAAGUCCCGCAACGAGCGCAACCCUUACCGUUAGUUGCUACGCAAGAGCACUCUAGCAGGACUGCCGUUGACAAAACGGAGGAAGGUGGGGAUGACGUCAAAUCAUCAUGCCCCUUAUGACCUGGGCCUCACACGUACUACAAUGGCUGUCAACAGAGGGAAGCAAAGCCGCGAGGUGGAGCGAACCCCUAAAAGCAGUCUUAGUUCGGAUUGUAGGCUGCAACCCGCCUACAUGAAGUCGGAAUUGCUAGUAAUCGCAGAUCAGCAUGCUGCGGUGAAUACGUUCCCGGGCCUUGUACACACCGCCCGUCACGCCAUGGGAGUCGGUAACACCCGAAGCCUGUAGUCUAACCGCAAGGAGGACGCAGUCGAAGGUGGGAUUGAUGACUGGGGUGAAGUCGGAACAAGGUA
Molecule: ribosomal RNA, 1470 nt
Filed under: metagenome
Description: bacterial SSU rRNA
Rfam family: Bacterial small subunit ribosomal RNA
Source: RNAcentral